Molecule: ribosomal RNA, 301 nt
Filed under: uncultured Archaeospora
Lineage: Eukaryota; Fungi; Glomeromycota; Glomeromycetes; Archaeosporales; Archaeosporaceae
Description: SSU rRNA
Rfam family: Eukaryotic small subunit ribosomal RNA
Source: RNAcentral
GCAGCCGCGGUAAUUCCAGCUCCAAUAGCGUAUAUUAAAGUUGUUGCAGUUAAAAAGCUUGUAGUUGAAUUUUAGGCCUGGCCGGGCGGUCCGUCUUUGGCGAGUACUGUCUGCUGUCGGGUCUUCCUUCUGGUGAACCAGCAUGUCCUUUGUUGGAGCCAGGACCAUUACCUUGAAAAAAUUAGAGUGUUUAAAGCGGGCUAUUGCUUGAAUAAAUUAGCAUGGAAUAAUAGAAUAGGACGUUGUGGUUCUAUUUUGUUGGUUUCUAGGACCACCAUAAUGAUUAAUAGGGAUAGUUGGG